Long non-coding RNA from Ruditapes philippinarum (Manila clam), 1296 nucleotides. RefSeq lists it as uncharacterized. The record is from RefSeq and is a predicted model, not a curated record. The transcript is spliced from 2 exons. Lineage: Eukaryota; Metazoa; Mollusca; Bivalvia; Venerida; Veneridae.
UCUUGUCAAAUCUGUUUGUCUAAAAAUAUCCUAAAAGCUAUUUUCUUGUGUGUACAGGUAUGAAAAAUUAGAUUAAUAGGGUUUUAAUGAAUUUGAUUUCAAAAUAAUUAUAUAAAAAGUAAAUUUAGAAAAACGUUUAUGUAAGACUUAGCAAAAUGAUAUGAAAUAUAUUUUAUAACAUAUGUUAAUAAAUUCAAAGAACACCAAAAAUUCAAAGAACACCAAAAGACGGGGAAAUCCGUUUAAUUAUCUUUUUAAUGUAUCUAACGUUAAUAAUAUAAAGAAAUUAUCACAUUAUGUUGGAAGCGAGCGACAAUGAUAAUGACUUUUUUCAUCUUAAAAAGUGCUAAAUCUGUCGGAUAUCUCCGAUAUUGACAUAUAUAAUAAACCUUUGCAUAUUAACCUUUACAUAACAGUGGUAUGAAUGUAUUGAAGACGGAGGAUUUAGAGCAAGAUAGUUGGAGGAUGGUAUUUAGAGGGACAUCUGGCAAUGGUCAUAGCGUGUAUCAUGCUUGGAUUGACGGAAAGAAUUCAAAUACAGACAAACCAGUUUCCAUGAAACGUUCUCAUGGUUAACACUUUCGGGAUAACAUCUUAGACAACUGGUCAAACCUUGGUAUCAAGCUGGUUAAAUUUGCGUUCUAUGAUACUGACAGAGAGGUAGCGUACGUGAUCUUCAACGGGAUGGACAGCAACAUACACAACUGGUUUGAUAGGAAACGUGUUAUUGAUUCAAGCUGGACAGACCUGACGUAAAAAAGUGUCUUCAACUAUUUCUCUAUUGCAGGUCAUUACAUCGACAAGAUACAUGAUCGUCGUUUCUACAUCAACAGAAAUUAGGCGGAUGUCCAAAUGACCGUGGUCACCUAAUAGUUAUUAAUUCUGCUGUUGCCGCUCCCAUAUGUUUGUUUGACAGCCAGCCAUCCAACGUUUAUGUAUUCAAAGUAUAAUUCGGUCGACUUCUUCCUGAGAAGAAUGUUUGGUAUCGCAUACUUCAUGGUGGUUUUCAUACAGACAAGGGUUUAAUUGACUAAAUGUAAACACCAUAGUGUCAAAAUACAGUAAUUUGUUCAACACUUAUAAGAACACAAACCAUUUGCAAUUGUUAUUUCAAUGACAUUUUUUCUGUUAUUUAAACUGUUUAAUGUAUUGCUGUGUUACGUUUAUGCAAUGUUUCUUUUUUCUGAUGGCAUUUUAUAGCAUACAAAAGUUAGAAUUGUAGGACAGUUAUGUUACUACACCAAUUGUUCACAAAGUCUUCUAUGUAAUGAUCUCGAAUAAAUGCUUAGCAACAUC